This 71-nucleotide transfer RNA is filed under the name Hierodula membranacea. Its description in RNAcentral is "tRNA-Trp". The record is from RNAcentral. Lineage: Eukaryota; Metazoa; Arthropoda; Insecta; Mantodea; Mantidae.
AAGACUUUAAGUUAAGUUAAACUAAUAUCCUUCAAAGUUAUAAAUAAAGAAAUAUUUAUCUUUAAGUCUUA